CACCGCGGUUAUACGGAAGGCUCAAGUUGAUAGCCCCCGGCGUAAAGUGUGGUCAAGGAAACCCUUUAAAACUAAAGUCAAACGCCCUCACUGCAGUCAAACGCCCCCGAGGGUUAGAAGCCCCACCACGAAAGUGACUUUACAUAACCUGAACCCACGAGAGCUAGGGAA
Molecule: ribosomal RNA, 171 nt
Filed under: Dactyloptena orientalis (oriental flying gurnard)
Lineage: Eukaryota; Metazoa; Chordata; Actinopteri; Syngnathiformes; Dactylopteridae
Also listed under: 1 other name
Description: partial 12S ribosomal RNA
Source: RNAcentral